UCUGAAAGAAUAUUUAUCUAUCAACAAAAAUUCUUGUUAUCCUAAUUUCUAAAUCAGAAUCUCAAAUCUACAACAUUUCUCUAUAAAAAUGAUAAAUUUCCAAAAAUAAUAGCUUUUAAAAAGUUUAUUUAGAAAAUACAAUUUAUUGAUCAAAGAUUCUGAAAGAAUACUCAUAUAUCAAAAAUAUCAUUGUUAUUGUAAUUUCUAAAUCAGAAUCUCAAAUCUACAAUAGGUCUCUUUAAAAAUGAUAAAUUUCCAAAAAAAUAGUUUAACAAAUUUAUUUAAAAACUACAACUUAUUGAUCAAAAAUUCUAAAAUAAUACUCCUAUAUUUGUUAUCCUAAUUUCUAAAUCAGAAUCUCAAAUCUACAA
This 371-nucleotide long non-coding RNA is filed under the name Brassica napus (rape). RNAcentral describes it as "long non-coding RNA (BNAP_LNC016557)". The record is from RNAcentral. Lineage: Eukaryota; Viridiplantae; Streptophyta; Magnoliopsida; Brassicales; Brassicaceae.